UAGAAACUACUAUGACUAAAACAAAAAUGAAUUCAUUUAAAACUAUUGGUUAUCAGUUUCAAUUUUGUUACUAUUAUCAUUUAGCACGUUUUUUGGUUAUUUUCUUCAUUUUUCCGGCCCCAGCUCGUCCCUUUUUCUUUCUAAACGAGGAAGCUCCAAGUCCGUCAUU
Molecule: non-coding RNA, 169 nt
Filed under: Fragilariopsis kerguelensis
Lineage: Eukaryota; Bacillariophyta; Bacillariophyceae; Bacillariales; Bacillariaceae
Source: RNAcentral